GGGGAAUAUUGCACAAUGGACGAAAGUCUGACGGAGCAACGCCGCGUGAGUGAUGAAGGUUUUCGGAUCGUAAAGCUCUGUUGCCAGGGAAGAACGUCUUCUGGAGUAACUGCCAGGAGAGUGACGGUACCUGAGAAGAAAGCCCCGGCUAACUACGUGCCAGCAGCCGCGGUAAUACGUAGGGGGCAAGCGUUGUCCGGAAUUAUUGGGCGUAAAGCGCGCGCAGGCGGCUGUUUAAGUCUGGUGUAUAAUCCUGGGGCUCAACUCCGGGUCGCACUGGAAACUGGAUGGCUUGAGUGCAGAAGAGGAGAGUGGAAUUCCACGUGUAGCGGUGAAAUGCGUAGAGAUGUGGAGGAACACCAGUGGCGAAGGCGACUCUCUGGGCUGUAACUGACGCUGAGGCGCGAAAGCGUGGGGAGCAAAC
This 424-nucleotide ribosomal RNA is filed under the name uncultured bacterium. Its description in RNAcentral is "bacterial SSU rRNA". It matches the Rfam family "Bacterial small subunit ribosomal RNA", at positions 356 to 773 of the family's 1533-position model. The record is from RNAcentral.